RNAcentral lists this ribosomal RNA (592 nucleotides) under uncultured bacterium. Its description in RNAcentral is "bacterial SSU rRNA". It matches the Rfam family "Bacterial small subunit ribosomal RNA", at positions 334 to 917 of the family's 1533-position model. The record is from RNAcentral.
UACUCCUACGGGAGGCAGCAGUGGGGAAUAUUGGACAAUGGGCGCAAGCCUGAUCCAGCCAUACCGCGUGGGUGAAGAAGGCCUUCGGGUUGUAAAGCCCUUUUGUUGGGAAAGAAAUCCAGCUGGCUAAUACCCGGUUGGGAUGACGGUACCCAAAGAAUAAGCACCGGCUAACUUCGUGCCAGCAGCCGCGGUAAUACGAAGGGUGCAAGCGUUACUCGGAAUUACUGGGCGUAAAGCGUGCGUAGGUGGUCGUUUAAGUCCGUUGUGAAAGCCCUGGGCUCAACCUGGGAACUGCAGUGGAUACUGGACGACUAGAGUGUGGUAGAGGGUAGCGGAAUUCCUGGUGUAGCAGUGAAAUGCGUAGAGAUCAGGAGGAACAUCCAUGGCGAAGGCAGCUACCUGGACCAACACUGACACUGAGGCACGAAAGCGUGGGGAGCAAACAGGAUUAGAUACCCUGGUAGUCCACGCCCUAAACGAUGCGAACUGGAUGUUGGGUGCAAUUUGGCACGCAGUAUCGAAGCUAACGCGUUAAGUUCGCCGCCUGGGGAGUACGGUCGCAAGACUGAAACUCAAAUGAAUUGACGGA